UAUUAUAUAAAGGAGAAAUUUUUGCAACUUUAGGGUCAAACCAGUAAUUUAAGAAUUCAUUGUACUACAAUUGAAUUUGCUGCAUGAAUAUUUUAGUCAAAAUUCACAUUAUUUUCCAAAGAUUUGCAAUGACAUCUGUUUAUUCCUUUGGAAUCUCCAUCUUCAGAUGCCCACCAUUUCCACCACCACCCCCACCACUCCCUCUGAGCCUCUCCUCACCACUGCACCCUUCCUCCUCCUCUCAAACUCUCCACAACAACCUCACUCUGCCUCUGAACCUCACCAUUGCAUGAAGGUUUCAGCUCUCGCAGCAAGUGAAGAUUGAGUUGCAGUCGCAAGUUAAGGGUGAGCCGCCGUCUACAACCACCGUCGGGAUUCACCGUCACGAUUCGGGUUAGAUCUGUCCAUCCAAGACCUUUGUUUGCAGGUAUGAGAUGCUUGUUGAAGACAAAGAGGUGGGAAAGAACGGGAGAGAGGAAUAUGGGUUCUAGGUUGGUGAGAAAGGUAGGAUUUUGGGGUUUCUAGGUUUUUAUCUUUUCGAGAUUUUGGUUUGAAAUAGAAGAUUAUGAUGAUGAAGAUCAUGGUUGAUGAUUCUGUGAUGAAGAUGAAGAUCAUGACAUUAAGCAACAAGAACGAGGUGCUCACUUGAUUUCGUGUAUGCGUUUUGUUUGCUGAUUUCCACUAGUUUGUGUAUGCGUUUUAGAACCAAAACAACAUUAAGAUACUCACUUGAUUUUGUAAAGAAAAAAUUUGUGAGUCAGAUGAUAUUUGUUGAACACAACCAAUGAUCAACAUUUUUGUCUGUACGAUCUCCUUGUUACUUGUAGCAUGAUUCAAGUGUACACAUACAAAUUGGUUAUGGGUUAGAUUA
Molecule: long non-coding RNA, 871 nt
Organism: Lotus japonicus
Lineage: Eukaryota; Viridiplantae; Streptophyta; Magnoliopsida; Fabales; Fabaceae
Exons: 2
Source: RefSeq, a predicted model, not a curated record